AACCAACCAAGCUUCCUCCAGACCUGAGAGGCAGAGAAAUGACUGAGCACCGAAGUCCUGCAGAGGUGAUUGUGGUUAAUAUCCUGUGAAAGUUUUAGACGGCUUCCUACCAAGCAUAAAAUUAAAUAGUGGUUUAUUAGGUAUGGCAUGUUCCUCCUAAUUGGAACCAAAUAUUCCAACCAAAUGUUGGCUUGGAUUUCAGUAGCCUGUGAGAGACCAUGUUCUCCUGACUGACAGUUACAAGAAUCUAUCUAUGUGCUUCAUUUUCCGUGGAUCUGGAGGAUUAUGGCUCAUCUUUUCGAGGGCACAAACAAUUUCCACUUUGAGCAUCAGUUUCAGUUGCCCUGGAGAGAGUGUUCCUCCCUGAUGGAUGUUCUUGGAUCUCUCAUUGUCCCAGGACCCUUCUAAGGCAGACAUUGAGUUUUCACAAGCUGGUGGAGAGGUUUCUGAAUAUCACAGUAACUAGUUAGAAACACCUGAUUUCUCUUCUCCCACCUUCUCAUUUAAAUAAUCUUGAAGAAUAUGGAAAACGAGAACAUUCAGCAACAAUCUGCUCUACUUGAGAAGGACUUGCACAAGAGAUAACAUAAAUUUUCCGGAAAAAGUAACCUAAAUUGAUUCCAUGUGAGUAGAAAACCUGAAUAGUUCAGUAACCAUGGAGGAAUUCCCCUUACCUCCCAAAUGACUCUACGUGCAGAUAGUAAGAAAAGGUGUUUCCUUUUCAUUGGUAAGCCCCAGGACAGAGGAUGAAAGUAAGAAGAUGAACCGGAGGAAAUUCGCACAAUAAUGCA
This 791-nucleotide long non-coding RNA is filed under the name Equus caballus (horse). RNAcentral's name for it is "lncRNA (ENSECAG00000035190.3)". The record is from RNAcentral. Lineage: Eukaryota; Metazoa; Chordata; Mammalia; Perissodactyla; Equidae.